This 76-nucleotide transfer RNA is filed under the name Actinomycetes bacterium. RNAcentral's name for it is "tRNA-Glu". It matches the Rfam family "tRNA". From Rfam's summary of the family: Transfer RNA (tRNA) molecules are approximately 80 nucleotides in length. Their secondary structure includes four short double-helical elements and three loops (D, anti-codon, and T loops). The record is from RNAcentral. RNAcentral also lists the same sequence under 3 other names. Lineage: Bacteria; Bacillati; Actinomycetota; Actinomycetes.
GCCCCCAUCGUCCAGCGGCCUAGGACGCCGGCCUUUCACGCCGGUAACACGGGUUCGAAUCCCGUUGGGGGUACCA